GUGUUCCCCUCAGCAGCACAUAUACUAAAAUGGUUAAAAUACAGAGAAGAUCAGCAUGGCCCCUGUGCAAGGAUGACACGCAAAUUCAUGGAGCGUUCCAUAUUUUU
Otolemur garnettii (small-eared galago) is the source of this 107-nucleotide small nuclear RNA. Lineage: Eukaryota; Metazoa; Chordata; Mammalia; Primates; Galagidae. The record is from Ensembl.